This 253-nucleotide ribosomal RNA is filed under the name uncultured bacterium. Its description in RNAcentral is "partial 16S ribosomal RNA". It matches the Rfam family "Bacterial small subunit ribosomal RNA", at positions 524 to 776 of the family's 1533-position model. The record is from RNAcentral.
UACGGAGGGUGCGAGCGUUGUCCGGAAUCAUUGGGCGUAAAGGGCGCGUAGGCGGCGGGACAAGCGUGCGGUGAAAGCUCGGGGCUCAACCCCGAGUCGGCCGUGCGAACUGUUUUGCUGGAGCACUGUAGAGGCAGGCGGAAUUCCGGGUGUAGCGGUGGAAUGCGUAGAGAUCCGGAAGAACACCGGUGGCGAAGGCGGCCUGCUGGGCAGUUGCUGACACUGAGGCGCGACAGCGUGGGGAGCAAACAGG